AAGCUCGUAGUUGAAUUUCGGGGUUAGUAGGUUGGUCAUGCCUCUGGUAUGUACUGGUCUCACUGAUUCCUACUUCCUUAUGAACCGUAAUGCCAUUAAUUUGGUGUUGCGGGGAAUUUGGACUGUUACUUUGAAAAAAUUAGAGUGUUUAAAGCAAGCUAACGCUUGAAUACAUUAGCACGGAAUAAUGAAAUAGGACGUUCGAUCUUAUUUUGUUGGUUUCUAGGAUUGACGUAAUGAUUAAUAGGGAUAGUUGGGGGCAUUAGUAUUCAAUUGUCAGAGGUGAAAUUCUUGGAUUUAUUGAAGACUAACUACUGCGAAAGCAUUUGCCAAGGAUGUUUUCAUUAAUCAAGAACGAAAGUUAGGGGAUCGAAGACGAUCAGAUACCGUCGUAGUCUUAACCAUAAACUAUGCCGACUAGGGAUCGGAUGAUGUUAAUUUUUUAAUGACUCAUUCGGCGCCUUACGGGAAACCAAAGUGUUUGGGUUCCGGGGGGAGUAUGGUCGCAAGGCUGAAACUUAAAGGAAUUGACGGAAGGGCACCACCAGGGGUGGAGCCUGCGGCUUAAUUUGACUCAACACGGGGAAA
This 588-nucleotide ribosomal RNA is filed under the name uncultured Glomus. RNAcentral describes it as "SSU rRNA". It matches the Rfam family "Eukaryotic small subunit ribosomal RNA", at positions 624 to 1213 of the family's 1831-position model. The record is from RNAcentral. Lineage: Eukaryota; Fungi; Glomeromycota; Glomeromycetes; Glomerales; Glomeraceae.